GAAGAGCAUACAGAAGAAGAUGAUGAUUCUGACUACAUUGUUGACCCAGAAGCUAUUUUAGAUGACUGGGAGGUUGAUAUGAGAGAGUUUCACAGUUGUGUGGAUGAGGUUGAAUGGCUUGGACAAGGUCCAAACAUAGAAUUAGAUUUAAAUCAAGAUGAUGAUUUAGGUGUGAUCAAUAAUGAUGAGUUUGAAAUUUCAGGAUAUGAGGAAGACCUAAGGAAGGGAAUGUUAAAAAACCUGAACAAGAAGGUGCCUUGUUCUUUUGGGGUAGUUCAUGUUACAACAUUUUUUGUGGGUCAAGCUUUUAAAACCAAAAAAGAUAUACAAGGUCACGUGAAGAUGAUUUCAAUAAAAACAAGGAGGGCCCUACACAUGGAAAAAAAUGAAAAAUUGAGAGUAAGAGUCAAGUGUAAAGGGGUGGUUCCUGUAACGCCCGUAGAUCCGGGCUAGUCAAUUUAGAGGCAAUAGGGGUCGAAAACGACUUUCGACAAAAUAUUAUUUAGAAUAAAUAAUUUGAACCAAGUUGUAGUAUAUGUCACAAGGUUUCCAUACAUAUAAAGAACGCCGAAAUCCAAGUUAUAACGAAGAAGUUAUGACCCACCGAAGUUUUACGGCAAAAUCGACAUAACACCGGGAGACGUAAAUAGUGAAUUUACGAUGGAGGACUUUUUAGCCUUAAUGAUCUAAACUAAAGUCUUAGAAUAUGUUAAACCGAGAAAAUCCAUAAAAAGAACGCCCAAAUCUGACUUCGUAUGAAGAAGUUAUGAUUUUUCUAAGAUUCAGCUUAGCAGUGCAUGGCCCGAAACUCGAAUUUUAGUUCGAGCGGUUUUUGGCUUACGCGACCUAAAUGAGAGUUGAAGAUCUCAUUAAUAGGAACUCAACGGUAAAAAGAUAGACGAAAACGGAGUCCGUAUGAAGGAGUUACGAAUUCUUCGCGGUCAUUUAACAGUCUAAACGCCUCCUACUGUUAAAUUUGAGAUCGGUCGAGAAUUAGCCGACGGAGUCUAAAUGAAAGUUGUAGAUCUUGAUUUUACCUACGCGUUGAAAAAAAGAACGUCGAAAACGGAGCUUGUAUGCGAAAGUUAUGAUUUUUCUAAGUUUGAAGGCUGAUACGCGAUAGGGGGCGACGUGGCACCACCAAAAUUGGACACGUGACACCACCAGAAGGCCACCACAUGCAACAACUCGACGAUUAGGUCCCCCUACUCGGUGAGUCCAUCAUAUAUUUUCACUAUAAAUAGAGGUGUCGGGUCUAGCCUCUUCUUCACACCUCCCAAACUCACUUUCUCUCUUUAGUUUCUCUCUCUAGCCUCCCAAACCCCCCCUAAAGCCUAGGUAAACCCCCUAGCACCCGAAGGAAGCCCCGAGGCUCCCGGAGUCCCGAGAAAAGAGCCUUUCGGCUCGGGAACGCUGCUCCAGCGAAGCCCGGUUUUCGAGAAAACCCGCUGUAAGUGAGCUAUGCCUACCCUAUCUUUAGUAUAGCUUAUGUUUUAAUAUAGUAACGUUAUUAUGAACUUAUAAUGAGUAUUUGGGCUAUUAUUAUAAGUUAUAUUGAGUGUUAUUUAACGCUUAUAUAAUAAUAAUAGCUAGACUAUUAAUUUGUCGCGGUUAUCGUUAGACUAAACCCUAGUGGUAUUGGUAUUAGGUUUUAUCGAAGGAAAAUUGUUUUGAGAGUAUCGAAGCGCUGUCCGAGUGCUGAGUCACCACCUUUCAGGUGAGUGCAUGGUCCCCUUCAACUUACACAUAGAUAUGAAGUAUUUACUACGUGCUAUGUGUGCAUAUUGUCUGUUUACUUGUUGUCUAUGCUCGGUGAAAGAUUUUAUACAUGUUUUAAAUGAUUUAAACUAUAUAUGUAUUUUAUAUCUACGAAAAUGUUGGGGUAAAACAUGGGUAGAUAUAAUAGAUGAAAUAUGAGUUGGACGAUGAGUUGAGAGGUGAUAUAGACCAUGAGGUAUGGGUGAGAGGUGUACGAUGUGAGAAGCCUUUUUCCCAAACGAUGUCCCCGUCAUUCAGCAGAGUAUGGAUGACAACCACAGACUAUUCUAGACAGUCCAGUGGAACACUAGCAGGCUCGCAACCUGUAGGUGUUGUGAACGAUGUGUUCACCCGGUGUACUCUAAACCUUGGUGACCAUGCAGACUUGGUGCCUAAACCUUGGUGAUCAUGCAGACUUGAUGCCUAAACUCUGGCGACUAUGCAGACUUAGUGCCUAAACCCUGGCGACUAUGCAGACUUAGUGCCCGUUGUGUAAACCAUGACAACGAUGGACUUCGUGCCGAUUCCUUUGGAUGAUCCUUAGGAACGAAUGAACGAGGAAUAAGUUGAUUCUUAGGGUAGAUCCUUAAGAAUAGAGAAUAUAAUGGGGAUGGGUAAUGGGGUUUAAUUGUUUGAUUGUUUAAACAUAAUAAUUAUAUUAUUGUGGGAUGAAAACGCUGUGUACUCACCAGGUUUUCCAACCUGACCCACUCAGUUUAUUUAUAUCACAGGUGUUGAUAUGAAGUCACAUUACACUGAGAGAUUUAAAGAGAUGUAGAUCACUAGUGUAAAUAAAUGUAAGUUCUGUUUAUGCUUACGUUUCUGUAUUAACGAUGACAUCCCAAACGUUUUAAAAUGAAUAAAAUACGUUUCUUCGAAAAUGUUUUAAUAACGUAUUUAUCAUGUUUUUCUGGGAACAAAUUCCGCAACAUUUCUAUUAAAAGAAGUACUCUGGUUUUUAUAAAGCAUAAACAAAAUCGGUCUUUUCUGGCCGUGAAAAUGGGGAUGUCACAGUUCCAGAUUCCACUAAUGGUGGGCCCUCCACUGUAAGUAAAGCCACAUCGAAGGGCAAAACUGUAAUUUCACAAAAAGAUUCUUGUCCUUUGCUAUUCAGAUAUCUAGAUCUACGGAAGAGGAACAAUGGUUGGUGAAGACAGUUAUUGAUGAGCAUCUAUGCUUACAAAGUAGAAAUGUGAAGGCAUGUACAUCUAGAUAUCUUGAAAGCACUAUUCUCCAAAAAGUGGAUUCCAACCCUCGCAUCCUAGUAACAGCCUUACAAGAAGAGCUUCAAAUGGAUUUGGAAUUAAGCAUAUCAAGAAUGAAGGUGUUCAGAGCUAAAUCAAUUGCAAAGGAACAUAUGUAUGGUGACUACGAAAGGCAAUAUAAUUUGCUGAGAGAUUACUGUUUAGAGUUACAAACCAAUAACCCAGGUACAACAGUGAAGCUAGAAGUGUGUAAUGAACCAAAUCUUGAUGUUCAAACUCGUAUUUUCAAGAGGAUAUACAUUUGUCUUGGAGCACUUAAUUUGGGAUUCAAAUCUGGAAAAAGGUAAUUAUUAGGAUUGGAUGGAUGUUUCUUGAAAGGACCACACCCUGGACAAAUUCUAACAGCUGCAGGUCUUGAUUCCAACAAUGGAAUAUAUCCAUUAGCUUAUAUAGUUGUGGAAGCUGAGACAAAAAGUUCAUGGACAUGGUUCUUAGAAUGCCUUGGUGAUGAUUUGGAUUUGGAUGCAUCAUGCAACUUUACUUUUGUAUCUGACAGACAAAAGGUAUGAAUACAUAUAACAUAAGUAUCUUUUAAAGCUUGUAACAAUACUAACUAUAAAUUACAUUAUAUGUAGGGCAUAAUACCUGCAAUAGCAAAAGUGUUUCCAAAUGCAUAGCAUAGAUGGUGUUUGAGACAUAUACAUGAAAACAUGAAGUUGCAAUGGAGGGGAGAAGAGUUUAGAGAUCACUUAUGGAGGUGUGCUACAAAUACAACCAUUAGGCACUUUGAAAGGACAAUGAAUGAGUUCAAAGAUUUCAGUGCAGAGGCUCAUGAAUGACUAAGUAAGAUUCCUCCAGUUCAUUGGGCUAGGUCCCAUUUCUCAGGUAGAGCCCAUUCAGAUUGUCUUUUAAACAAUUUGUGUGAAGUAUUCAACUCUAAGCUAGAUCAUGGAAGGGAAAAGCCUAUAAUUACAUGUUUAGAGUACAUAAGAGUGUACUUGAUGAAGAGACAUUGCAUUGUACUAAAAGAAAUUGAUAAAUGCAAAAAUCUAUUAACCCCUACUGCAACUACUAUACUUGACACAAUCAAAACAGUUGCAAGCAAAUAUAGGGCACUCUUCUGUGGUUCUGGAAAAUAUCAAGUGACUGGUAUGAUGUUUGAUCAAUAUGUGGUCAACUUGAAAGAGGGUACAUGUAGUUGUAGGUACUGGGAGAUAACAGGGAUAGUCUACAGGCAUGGAGUUUGUGCAAUAUGGGAACAUAUUCAAAAUGGUGAAAAAAUCCAACAGCCUGAAUAUUGGGUGCAUCCUUGUUAUAAGCUAGAAACAUGGAGGGCAAUGUACACUAACAAAAUAGAUCCAAUCAAUGGCAGGAGCAUGUGGCCAAAAUCUAGAUGUCCAACCACUCUUAUACCACCUACACAUCACACACAAGUAAGUUGAAUGUUAGUUAACAUAGUUUCUUAUUCAUCCAGUUUUAAAAUUUCCUUAAUAUUUUUGUAGGUUGGAAGGACCAAGAAAAAGAGGAGGAGGGCUAUAGAUGAGCCUACUAACCAGUCAAAAAACCUAUCUAGGAAAUUCUUGAUUGUUACUUGUUCCAAGUGUCAUAACAAAUGACAUAACUCUAGAACAUUUGUAAGGGGCAAGGGGGGUCAAGUCAGAGAGCAGUGGGUGGAUCAAGUCAAGGUGGUGUGGGUGGAUCAAGUAAAGAUGCAGUUGGUGGAACAAGUCAAGGUUCAGUUGGUGGAUCAAGUGAAGAUGUUAUGGGUGGGUUAAGAGCAAAGAAGAUAGACAAUGGAAAAAAAGACUCAAGUAGGACCUAAGUGAAGUUGGAUACAGAUGAAAGCAUGACUAAUCAAGUUAUUUGGCUACCUUCUGUUUAAGAUUAUAAACUUGUGUUGAUGCUUUUGUUAAAACAUGUUUAAUCUAGAUAAUUACAUCUUUUUGCAACUACCUAAAUUAGUGAUGUAAUUAAGUUGAUACUAGCCAUAUGUCAUGCUACAUUUCUGGUUAUAAUGAUCUCAGUUAUCAUGUNUUGAAGGCUCUAGGAAAUGAUCAAGACGUUAUAUCUAUGACUCAAUUUGUCCCUCAAAACAGAGUGAUUAAUGUGUACGUUGAACAUGGUUCUACAAGACUUCAUACUUACUUCAUGUCCCCAAGUAAAGUUGUUAUUGAGCAACUGGAUGAUGAUCCUUCUCCUGAGCUUAAUAGGAUUAGGCCUAAGAAGAAGGGAAUUGGUUCGUGUAGCAAGAAAUUAGACAUGAAUGUCCCACUUAUAGAAUCAGCUAAUCAAGCUCAGAGAGAAGAUGGUGUGUAUGAUUUUUCCAUGUCCUUAGUUCCUUUUGAGCCAAACAAACAAGACAUGAUUAAUGAGUUUAAGGAUGAUUCGUAUUUCCCUGUACCAGAAGAAACUGAUACAAUGCAAGAAAUUACAGUUGAUAUUAAUUGCCAGAAUCAUAGGGAAAUGCUAGAUGAUUUUGAUCCUUUUAGUAGUGAUGGAUAUCAGAAUAUAGGUGAGUUUGAAAGAGAGGUUGAAGCUGAAGAAGAACAAGAUGAAGAAGAUGAAGAAGGGCAUGCAGAGGUUUCAAAAGAUGAUUCAGAAGAGCAUACAGAAGAAGAUGAUGAUUCUGACUACAUUGUUGACCCAGAAGCUAUUUUAGAUGACUGGGAGGUUGAUAUGAGAGAGUUUCACAGUUGUGUGGAUGAGGUUGAAUGGUUUGGACAAGGUCCAAACAUAGAAUUAGAUUUAAAUCAAGAUGAUGAUUUAGGUGUGAUCAACAAUGAUGAGUUUGAAAGUGCAGGAUAUGAGGAAGACCUAAGGAAGAGAAUGUUAAAAAAACUGAACAAGAAGGUGCCUUGUUCUUCCAGGGUAGUUCAUGUUACACCAUUUUUUGUGGGUCAAGCUUUUAAAACCAAAAAAGAUAUACAAGGUCAC
RNAcentral lists this long non-coding RNA (5897 nucleotides) under Lactuca sativa (garden lettuce). RNAcentral describes it as "long non-coding RNA (LSAT_LNC003302)". The record is from RNAcentral. Lineage: Eukaryota; Viridiplantae; Streptophyta; Magnoliopsida; Asterales; Asteraceae.